AUGUCCUGGACGCCAUAUGGUGGAAUGAGGGCUUGGAAUGCCUUGAGGAGGAGGCAGUCGACGAGAUUCAAAUUUGACUUUUCCCCCACAUUUGUUGGUGUUGGAAUGAUUUGUCCACAUGUGGUAAAUUUUGCAUUACUCUUUGGAGGAAUCAUAUCUUGGGGAUUGCUAUACCCUUUUCUUGAAUCAAAACAUGGGCAAUGGUAUCACACUGAUAGUGCUUCAAGUCUUACGGGAAUGAAUGGAUACAAGUAA
RNAcentral lists this ribosomal RNA (255 nucleotides) under Triticum aestivum (bread wheat). RNAcentral's name for it is "partial small subunit ribosomal RNA". Lineage: Eukaryota; Viridiplantae; Streptophyta; Magnoliopsida; Poales; Poaceae. The record is from RNAcentral.